UUAGAGUUUGAUCCUGGCUCAGGAUGAACGCUAGCGGCAGGCUUAACACAUGCAAGUCGAGGGGCAGCAUGGGAGUAGCAAUACUUCUGAUGGCGACCGGCGCACGGGUGCGUAACGCGUAUGCAACCUACCUGUAACAGGGGGAUAACACUGAGAAAUCGGUACUAAUACCGCAUAACACUAUGAGAGGCAUCUCUUGUGGUUGAAAGUUUCGGCGGUUACAGAUGGGCAUGCGUUGUAUUAGCUGGUUGGUAAGGUAACGGCUUACCAAGGCGACGAUACAUAGGGGGACUGAGAGGUUAACCCCCCACAUUGGUACUGAGACACGGACCAAACUCCUACGGGAGGCAGCAGUGAGGAAUAUUGGUCAAUGGACGAAAGUCUGAACCAGCCAUGCCGCGUGCAGGAAGACGGCUCUAUGAGUUGUAAACUGCUUUUGUACAAGGGUAAACCUGAAUACGUGUAUUCAGCUGAAAGUACUGUACGAAUAAGGAUCGGCUAACUCCGUGCCAGCAGCCGCGGUAAUACGGAGGAUCCAAGCGUUAUCCGGAUUUAUUGGGUUUAAAGGGUGCGUAGGCGGAUUGAUAAGUUAGAGGUGAAAUGUCCGGGCUCAACUCGGGAACUGCCUCUAAUACUGUUGAUCUAGAGAGUAGAUGCGGUAGGCGGAAUGUAUGGUGUAGCGGUGAAAUGCUUAAGAGAUUAUACAGAACACCGAUUGCGAAAGCAGCUUACCAAUCUAUAUCUGACGUUGAGGCACGAAAGCGUGGGGAGCAAACAGGAUUAGAUACCCUGGUAGUCCACGCAGUAAACGAUGAUAGCUCGUUGUCGGCGAUACACAGUCGGUGACUAAGAGAAAUCGAUAAGCUAUCCACCUGGGGAGUACGUUCGCAAGAAUGAAACUCAAAGGAAUUGACGGGGGCCCGCACAAGCGGAGGAACAUGUGGUUUAAUUCGAUGAUACGCGAGGAACCUUACCCGGGCUUGAAAGUUAGUGACUGGUCUGGAAACAGGUCUUCCCUUCGGGGCACGAAACUAGGUGCUGCAUGGUUGUCGUCAGCUCGUGCCGUGAGGUGUCGGGUUAAGUCCCAUAACGAGCGCAACCCCUACUGAUAGUUGCCAUCAGGUCAAGCUGGGCACUCUAUCGGGACUGCCGGUGUAAGCCGGAGGAGGGUGGGGAUGACGUCAAAUCAGCACGGCCCUUACGUCCGGGGCGACACACGUGUUACAAUGGUAGGUACAGAGGGCAGCUACCCAGCGAUGGGGUGCAAAUCUCGAAAGCCUAUCUCAGUUCGGAUUGGAGGCUGAAACUCGCCUCCAUGAAGUUGGAUUCGCUAGUAAUCGCGCAUCAGCCAUGGCGCGGUGAAUACGUUCCCGGGCCUUGCACACACCGCCCGUCA
RNAcentral lists this ribosomal RNA (1396 nucleotides) under uncultured bacterium. Its description in RNAcentral is "16S ribosomal RNA". It matches the Rfam family "Bacterial small subunit ribosomal RNA". The record is from RNAcentral.